This 213-nucleotide ribosomal RNA is filed under the name uncultured Leptolinea sp. Its description in RNAcentral is "partial 16S ribosomal RNA". It matches the Rfam family "Bacterial small subunit ribosomal RNA", at positions 1168 to 1382 of the family's 1533-position model. Lineage: Bacteria; Bacillati; Chloroflexota; Anaerolineae; Anaerolineales; Anaerolineaceae. The record is from RNAcentral.
GGAAGGUGGGGAUGACGUCAAGUCCUCAUGGCCCUUAUAGUGGGCUACACACACGCUACAAUGGCCAACACAAUAGGUUGCUAAGCCGCGAGGUGGAGCCAAUCCUCAAAGUUGGUCUCAGUUCAGAUUGCAGGCUGCAACCCGCCUGCAUGAAGAUGGAGUUGCUAGUAACCGCAGGUCAGCUAUACUGCGGUGAAUACGUUCCCGGGGCUU